This 460-nucleotide ribosomal RNA is filed under the name uncultured bacterium. RNAcentral's name for it is "partial 16S ribosomal RNA". It matches the Rfam family "Bacterial small subunit ribosomal RNA", at positions 338 to 795 of the family's 1533-position model. The record is from RNAcentral.
CCUACGGGGGGCAGCAGUGAGGAAUAUUGGUCAAUGGACGAGAGUCUGAACCAGCCAAGUAGCGUGAAUGAUGACUGCCCUAUGGGUUGUAAACUUCUUUUAUAAAGGAAUAAAACGAGGCACGUGUGCCUUUUUGCAUGUACUUUAUGAAUAAGGAUCGGCUAACUCCGUGCCAGCAGCCGCGGUAAUACGGAGGAUACGAGCGUUAUCCGGAUUUAGUGGGUUUAAAGGGAGCGUAGAUGGGUUGUUAAGUCAGUUGUGAAAGUGUGCGGCUCAACCGUAAAAUUGCAAUUGAUACUGGCAGUCUUGAGUACAGUUGAGGUAGGCGGAAUUCGUGGUGUAGCGGUGAAAUGCUUAGAUAUCACGAAGAACCCCGAUUGCGAAGGCAGCUUACUAAACUGUGACUGACAUUGAUGCUCGAAAGUGUGGGUAUCAAACAGGAUUAGAUACCCCAGUAGUC